This is a small nuclear RNA of Centruroides sculpturatus (bark scorpion), 141 nucleotides long. RefSeq annotates it as U4 spliceosomal RNA. The record is from RefSeq and is a predicted model, not a curated record. The transcript has a single exon. Lineage: Eukaryota; Metazoa; Arthropoda; Arachnida; Scorpiones; Buthidae.
AGCUUUGCGCAGAGGCGAUAUCGUAGCCAGUGAGGUUAAUCCGAGGCGCGAUUAUUGCUAGUUGAAAACUAUUCCCAAUACCCCGCUGAGACGACGUGAAAUACCGUCGGCUCCAGCAAUUUUUGUAAGCCUCUCACGAGG